GAAAUGCGAUAAGUAAUGUGAAUUGCAGAAUUCCGUGAAUCAUCGAAUCUUUGAACGCACAUUGCGCCCUCUGGUAUUCCGGGGGGCAUGCCUGUCCGAGCGUCAUUGCGAACCCCUCAAGCACGGCUUGUGUGAUGGGCCCUCCGCGUCUUGGUCGUCAAGAUGGGCCCGAAAUGCAGUGGCGGCUUCGCGGUUAUCCGAUCAGCCAGAGCGUAUGGGGACUCUCUCUCUUGUCACACGCCCGCGGCGCGGACCGACGCCUGUCGACCUUUAUUCAUCUUCUCUCGGUUGACCUCGGAUCAGGUAGGGAUACCCGCUGAACUUAAGC
This 328-nucleotide unclassified non-coding RNA is filed under the name plant metagenome. Its description in RNAcentral is "partial contains 5.8S ribosomal RNA, internal transcribed spacer 2, and large subunit ribosomal RNA". The stretch from base 1 to 105 matches the Rfam family "5.8S ribosomal RNA", at positions 50 to 154 of the family's 154-position model. The record is from RNAcentral.